Molecule: long non-coding RNA, 1947 nt
Organism: Raphanus sativus (radish)
Lineage: Eukaryota; Viridiplantae; Streptophyta; Magnoliopsida; Brassicales; Brassicaceae
Exons: 5
Source: RefSeq, a predicted model, not a curated record
AAAAAACACUUCGUAAAUAAUAGUAUAGAUAGAUAGAUCUAACUAUGGUUCAUAUGUUAUAUGGAAUAUACAGUUUUGAUAGAAUAAGCUAUGGAAAAUAUUUUUUGAUUGGCAAAAAAAUUAUUUUACAAUUAUAUUAAAUAAAUACUAAAUGUAUUGUAAAUUGUUUUCUUUUUUUUUUCUUUUUUUGUUUAAUCUGGGGGUAUCCCGGGCCGAGGCCCAGACUAAUCCCCAAGGGGAUGUACAGCCCACAGAUGGACCCUCUCUCCGGGUUUUCAAAUGGGUCGAAAGCAUGGCCCAUAUCCGCGUGGCCACAAGUCAGGGUAAUCUGAGUGGCAACGGAUUCGAACCCAGGUCCCUUAGAGAUCCUGGAACACCAUGUACCACCUGACCACUGACUCGUGGUUUGUAAAUUGUUUUCUAAUUUACAGUUUUCAUUUCAUAUAUUUUCUCAACAUUUUUACCAAAAAAUAUAUAUUUUAAUAUGGACUAUUUCAUUAUUUUGCGAGUUUGAUUGAUUUUUGACUAAUUUUCUUACCAACCCAAAUAUGGUUUUCAAUAUCUAUCUAUAUAUAUAAAGUUGGCUUUUUUAUCUCCAUAGGGGGAAAAUCGCCACCUGUCCCAUCAUUAAAACAUACUUUCGAAACUAUUCUUAAUGGGUUGUUGUAGGGCCAUAGAAACAAGUGAUAUUACGAGGUAAGAUAAUCUCUUUAUGCAAUUACCUGGCCCACAUCGGUUCAAGAUUUUUCCGUUACGAUUGAAUCAGAGUUUCGUCUGAGAAGAAGACGAACCCUAAUCCGCUGAUACUUUCGUCAUGUUUUUCAUUGGCUCAGUUGGUACAUGAUUUUUUCACCAUAAUUUGUCAGGAAAAUCGGCAGUCAGCUAACUCGAAAAUGCCGUGUAAGAAAAACCGCAUCUGUUUCCUCCGGUCAGCUUCUUCCAUAAGAGGAAGCAUAUCGGCGAGUGCGGAGAGAAAAAACAGAGGGAUGAUGGGUAUUACGCAUAAAAGAAACGCCACCGUUGAAGAUAAGAAAAUUUCCAUGGCCGCAGCUUCAGCCAUUAAUGGCAGCAGAAGGAAAUCACUUGGUGGGAGGACAUCACUUGGUGGUUUCGGGGUUUGUUUGUGUUACGGCCCCCUGCUGAUCAAUAUUGAUCACUUCUUAUCAUUGAGAAUGAUUUGUGUGUAGCAUGAAGCUAUGCAGAAAAGCUAAAAGCUUUUCAAAAUAUAAGGAGAAGCUGAAAAAUCUGGAGAUUGGCAGAGAACGUGUUGCCUCUGAUUCCAUACAGCCAUUGACUGAAACGUUAUUAGCUAGCUUGGAAGCACCGACUCAAGAAGACAAGCAUUAGGCUCACAAGCCAAAGAUCCUAAGCUGAGUCAGUCAUGCUUAUGCAUUUCUCUGCUGUUUUAACCUUUAAACAUAUACGUACUUCAAAACUCUAACUUUUUGUGCAAUUCACUAUGAUAUGUGCAGCUCAUUUUUAAGGCACAUUUACCUAUCUACAUGGACACUAGAUCAGAGAACCAACCAGAGUCAGACAAGUCAAACCAGAGUUUGGUUCUUAUCUCAUGCUUGAGGCAGCACACAGAGGAACGAGGAAAAUAAUUCCUUAGCUGGAAACUGGACAACACAAGGUUUUUAUCGACAAAGAAGAAUGUAUAGAGUAAGUGAGAAUAUCAAAGUUAUCUUCUUACCCCCUUUUCACCUUAGAAUUGAGCGGGAAGAAAGAUUAAAACAUCUCAUCAUCAUCAAAUUCUCUGCCGUUUGAUGAUGACCUUGAGAUUAAGGAGUAGUUACAUGAAUCAAGUUUCUGUGGAGGAUGAUGUGGUCUACAAUGCAGUGGUUGAAGUUUUAGGCAGAUCAGUUGAAACUAUUAUAUACUAUUUUGUAUGUAUCUCAAACAUAUUUCAAUUUCAAACAAUAAUAUAUUCAAAUAUAAAAUUUAGCU